RNAcentral lists this ribosomal RNA (726 nucleotides) under Rhodococcus sp. (in: high G+C Gram-positive bacteria). RNAcentral's name for it is "bacterial SSU rRNA". It matches the Rfam family "Bacterial small subunit ribosomal RNA", at positions 137 to 876 of the family's 1533-position model. Lineage: Bacteria; Bacillati; Actinomycetota; Actinomycetes; Mycobacteriales; Nocardiaceae. The record is from RNAcentral.
UUCGGGAUAAGCCUGGGAAACUGGGUCUAAUACCGGAUAUGACCAAAGGCUGCAUGGCUUUUGGUGGAAAGGUUUACUGGUGCAGGAUGGGCCCGCGGCCUAUCAGCUUGUUGGUGGGGUAAUGGCCUACCAAGGCGACGACGGGUAGCCGACCUGAGAGGGUGACCGGCCACACUGGGACUGAGACACGGCCCAGACUCCUACGGGAGGCAGCAGUGGGGAAUAUUGCACAAUGGGCGAAAGCCUGAUGCAGCGACGCCGCGUGAGGGAUGAAGGCCUUCGGGUUGUAAACCUCUUUCAGCAGGGACGAAGCGAAAGUGACGGUACCUGCAGAAGAAGCACCGGCUAACUACGUGCCAGCAGCCGCGGUAAUACGUAGGGUGCGAGCGUUGUCCGGAAUUACUGGGCGUAAAGAGUUCGUAGGCGGUUUGUCACGUCGUCUGUGAAAACCCACCGCUCAACGGUGGGCCUGCAGGCGAUACGGGCAGACUUGAGUACUGCAGGGGAGACUGGAAUUCCUGGUGUAGCGGUGAAAUGCGCAGAUAUCAGGAGGAACACCGGUGGCGAAGGCGGGUCUCUGGGCAGUAACUGACGCUGAGGAACGAAAGCGUGGGUAGCAAACAGGAUUAGAUACCCUGGUAGUCCACGCCGUAAACGGUGGGCGCUAGGUGUGGGUUCCUUCCACGGGAUCUGUGCCGUAGCUAACGCAUUAAGCGCCCCGCCUGG